UAACCCGCACCACUUAUCGUGGUGGGAGACAGUGUCAGGCGGGCAGUUUGACUGGGGCGGUCGCCUCCUAAAAGGUAACGGAGGCGCUCAAAGGUUCCCUCAGAAUGGUUGGAAAUCAUUCAUAGAGGGUAAAGGCAUAAGGGAGCUUGACUGCGAGACCUACAAGUCGAGCAGGGUCGAAAGACGGACUUAGUGAUCCGGUG
This 203-nucleotide ribosomal RNA is filed under the name Staphylococcus aureus. RNAcentral describes it as "partial 23S ribosomal RNA". It matches the Rfam family "Bacterial large subunit ribosomal RNA", at positions 2223 to 2425 of the family's 2925-position model. Lineage: Bacteria; Bacillati; Bacillota; Bacilli; Caryophanales; Staphylococcaceae. The record is from RNAcentral.